This is a ribosomal RNA of Danio rerio (zebrafish), 123 nucleotides long. NCBI's taxonomy places the organism in Eukaryota, Metazoa, Chordata, Actinopteri, Cypriniformes, Danionidae. The record is from Ensembl.
UGCCACAGCCAUAUCAACCUGCAGCCCAAGACUCAGUGGUUACUAAAACUGAAGCUAAGCAGGGCUGAACCUGGGCAGUAUCUGGAUGGGAGACCACAUGGGAAAACCUGGUUGCUGUUGGAA